GAUGAACGCUGGCGGCAUGCCUAAUACAUGCAAGUCGAGCGAACGGACGAGAAGCUUGCUUCUCUGAUGUUAGCGGCGGACGGGUGAGUAACACGUGGAUAACCUACCUAUAAGACUGGGAUAACUUCGGGAAACCGGAGCUAAUACCGGAUAAUAUUUUGAACCGCAUGGUUCAAAAGUGAAAGACGGUCUUGCUGUCACUUAUAGAUGGAUCCGCGCUGCAUUAGCUAGUUGGUAAGGUAACGGCUUACCAAGGCAACGAUGCAUAGCCGACCUGAGAGGGUGAUCGGCCACACUGGAACUGAGACACGGUCCAGACUCCUACGGGAGGCAGCAGUAGGGAAUCUUCCACAAUGGGCGAAAGCCUGACGCAGCAACGCCGCGUGAGUGAUGAAGGUCUUCGGAUCGUAAAACUCUGUUGUUAGGAAAGAACAUAUGUGUAAGUAACUGUGCACAUCUUGACGGUACCUAAUCAGAAAGCAACGGCUAACUACGUG
RNAcentral lists this ribosomal RNA (497 nucleotides) under uncultured bacterium. RNAcentral describes it as "partial 16S ribosomal RNA". It matches the Rfam family "Bacterial small subunit ribosomal RNA", at positions 28 to 507 of the family's 1533-position model. The record is from RNAcentral.